AUUACAAACCUAGAAAUCCAGCGACCCAUCCAUCUGAGAAGAGACACCAAGAAAACUAUUCCAUCAUAAUAACGACGUCCUAAAUCACAGUAUUCAGAUCUAUCUGACAAUUAGACUCGCAAAUCUCUUGGACAAGUUGCUGGACAGAUUACAUGUUUAUUAUCUUUGAGAGAUCGCUGGAGAGAUAUGCGAGUUAAAAAGGACCCUAAAAAUAAUUCAUCAUGGCCAUGAUUUUUCCAGCAGUUCAAAGAUGCAUUUUGUGAGAGGGACAAUAUGUGUGUUGUAUCAGAUAGGAACGAAAGCAUAAUGAAGAGUGUAAGUAUUGUGUUUCCCAAUGUCCCUCACUUUGCAUGCAUAUAUAAUAUAUGGAAAAAUGUAUGUACUAACUACAU
Solanum dulcamara is the source of this 392-nucleotide long non-coding RNA. RefSeq lists it as uncharacterized. The transcript is spliced from 3 exons. The record is from RefSeq and is a predicted model, not a curated record. Lineage: Eukaryota; Viridiplantae; Streptophyta; Magnoliopsida; Solanales; Solanaceae.